Pimephales promelas (fathead minnow) is the source of this 2195-nucleotide non-coding RNA. The record is from RefSeq and is a predicted model, not a curated record. NCBI's taxonomy places the organism in Eukaryota, Metazoa, Chordata, Actinopteri, Cypriniformes, Leuciscidae.
AGCGUCUUCAGCUGUUUCUUGAAAGUGGCUAUGGACUCCGCAGCUCUGGUUGAGUUCGACAGAUCAUUCCACCAGCAGGGAACAGUCAUGGUAAAGGUCAGAGAAAGAGAUUUUGUGCCUCUUUGAGAUGGUACUCACUUGCAAAGCACAAGUUUCUGGAUUGCACAUAAGUCUGAAAUAAUGAGUUUAGGUAAAAGGGAGCAGUGCCAGUGGUUCUGUAGGCCAACGUCAGUGACUUGAAUUUAAUGCGAGCGGAAACUGCCAACCAGUGCAGGUUUGUGAGGAAAGGAGUGACGUGUGCUCUCUUCGGCUGAUUAAAGACCACUCUGGCAUCAGCAUAUAGAGGUUUGACAGAGUAAGCUGGAAGACCAGCCAGGAGAGCAUUGCAAUAGUCCAGUGUGGAUAGAACAAGCAUAGGAAAGCCCUGAGGCUGAUCCUCCUAAUGUUGUACAAGGCAAAUCUACAUGACUGGGCAGUUAGCAAUGUGGUCUAUGAAGUUCAAUUGAUCAUCAAUUACAAGCCCAAGAUUCCUGAAUGACCUUGAUGGAGUUAUGGAUGAUGAGCCUAGCUGAAUGGAGAAGUUGUGAUGAAGUGUUGGAUUGGCCGGUUCAUGGUUUAUGAAUCGUAUACUAGUAUUUCCAUCAGACCAGAGCUCAUUGUCAGUACAUCUUCCUCCAGCAGGGGUAGCUCUGGCUCUAUUAGUCUUGGUGGUGUUAUUAUUUCAGGGUUGAUGGGAGCAACCCUGCUGAUCCCCAGCAGCUGUUCAGUCGGUCUGCCUCAGCUCUGAAAGGCAUCUGUUCCUCACUUUUAAUCUUUAAUCUCAUCACACAUGCAGCAAACUUCCUUCCUUCCAAAACACUCAUUAUGAAACCAGAGCUGUCCUGUGGUGCUCUCUGAAGUUAUCCGAAAUAAUGAAUAGUUUUUGUCAAGUUUCUCCUUUAACUAGGCAAAUGGAAAAUGAUACAGAGUCCAGAAUUAACACUCAAGCCCAAAUGCAAGUAAAAAUGGGCUUUGGAGAGUAAAGUUAUUUGCCAACCUCAUUAUGGCUAUAUUUUAUAUAACUAAAUGACAUAAAUAAAGAACAUCUCGUUCUUUCUGCAUAGUUGUGCUGUGGAGCGGGGAGGUGUGGGAGUUUUUGACAUUUACUGACCGCCAUCCUGCCAUCAUCUAUAAUAUCCUCCUGUUCGGUAUCACUAGCGCUCUUGGACAGACAUUCAUCUUCAUGACUGUGGUGUAUUUUGGACCGCUCACAUGUUCCAUCAUCACUACGACACGGAAGUUCUUCACCAUCCUGGGAUCAGUGUUGCUGUUUGGGAACGUCAUCAGCCCUUUGCAGUGGUUUGGCACCAUCCUCGUCUUCCUUGGCCUGGGACUGGAUGCCAAAUUUGGAAAGUCUCCUAAGAAGACGCCACACUGAAGACUGAAAACGUGUGCGCGUGUGUGUGUGCGUACAUGGAUGCCUGCUUUUGAACCCUUGAGACAAACAUACUUAUUCUUUAAACACUUUACAACACUAAUUCCAUCAUUGGGGUACUUCAGAGAUGAUGUUUUUAGUGCUCAAAAUAUUGUUGACAUUCUGAACAUUUAAUAAUGGGAUCUAUUUAACCCAUCAUCUCUCAAAAUGGAAUCCAUGGUAACAGAGGGACAGUGCAAAUAUAUGUCUGUGCCUAAUCAUAAUCUGUUAAGCUCAUAAGGCGAAAUCUAAAAGAGAAAGGUUGGAUACAGGGAAAGAUCCUAUUUAAUACUAUAGUCUAAAAAAAUGCACACGCUGAUUGUACUUCCUAGAAGACUCCAGCAGGGCAACCACAGAAUUUUUUAGCUACCCCAAUUCGUACUUUUUGACACAUUUAUAUAUACAUCAAGAAAUGGGGAUUCAGUUCUGCCUUAAUUUAGGUGGUGAAUUAUGUUUAACGUAUGAUAAUUGUCAUUGCAUUCCCCAGGUAGCGUGUGUGUGUGCGCGUGGGGUGUUUACUUUGUGUAUGUAAUGCACAAACACCUGCUGUAUAGAUGAAUUAUUUGUCAAAACAUGGCUUUUUCAUACCAGAUGUCAUAUUUAUAUUCUUGUGUCUCAUGUCUUGUUUUGAAGUCAACAAAGCAAAUGUUUAGAAAGUUGACAUUUUUUUUACAAAAGAAUCAUCUGCAUUAUAAUGCAUCCUUGUGUCAGAAUAAAAAUUGAAUUUUAUAGAUUGAUUCUA